UGGGGAAUUUUGGACAAUGGGCGAAAGCCUGAUCCAGCAAUGCCGCGUGUGUGAAGAAGGCCUUCGGGUUGUAAAGCACUUUUGUCCGGAAAGAAAUCCUUGGCUCUAAUACAGUCGGGGGAUGACGGUACCGGAAGAAUAAGCACCGGCUAACUACGUGCCAGCAGCCGCGGUAAUACGUAGGGUGCAAGCGUUAAUCGGAAUUACUGGGCGUAAAGCGUGCGCAGGCGGUUUGCUAAGACCGAUGUGAAAUCCCCGGGCUCAACCUGGGAACUGCAUUGGUGACUGGCAGGCUAGAGUAUGGCAGAGGGGGGUAGAAUUCCACGUGUAGCAGUGAAAUGCGUAGAGAUGUGGAGGAAUACCGAUGGCGAAGGCAGCCCCCUGGGCCAAUACUGACGCUCAUGCACGAAAGCGUGGGGAGCAAACAGGAUUAGAUACCCUGGUAGUCCACGCCCUAAACGAUGUCAACUAGUUGUUGGGGAUUCAUUUCCUUAGUAACGUAGCUAACGCGUGAGGUUGACCGCCUGGGGAGUACGGUCGCAAGAUUAAAACUUAAAUGAAUUGACGGGGUCAUAGCUGUUUCCU
RNAcentral lists this ribosomal RNA (585 nucleotides) under uncultured bacterium. RNAcentral's name for it is "partial 16S ribosomal RNA". It matches the Rfam family "Bacterial small subunit ribosomal RNA", at positions 355 to 1375 of the family's 1533-position model. The record is from RNAcentral.